AAAGAAUGAAAUAGAGCACUCAAAACUUGAGUUAUCUUUCCAACUCUCUCAGUUUAAGAUUCUAUCAUUCCUUCUUGUUUACAAUUUGAUAACAUUUUCCCUCAAUGUAUAUUGCAUCAGUCUCUUCUUACAAAAAAAGUUUAGUCUCCUAAUUAUUAAUUUCUAAGAGAUCUACCUAUAUAUGGUUACUUUCAUAUAUUUUCCUGUCGAUAAAUGAUAAAGGCGGUGAUUGUUAUGGAUCCAAAAAGACAGAUCAAGAUGUCGGAUCCAACAUAAUCGAAAUUUAAAGAUUUGGAGGUACAGAUCCAAGUACGGAGUCUAGUGAGGGUGUUCUAGCACGGAUGCAGGUAACGGUGGUGAUUGUUAUGGAUUCAACAUGACAUUGCAGGUGUUUGAUACAGAUGCAGAUGUAGAGAUCAGAUCCUUAAUGACCUAAAUUUUAAGAUUUGGGUGUAUGAAUCCAGGUAGGAACUCUGGUGUGGGUAUCCAAGUAUGGAUACACGUACGGGUGAUGAUUGUUAUGGAUCCAGAUAGACAGGUAAGUCUAGCCUUUCCAUAAUUCUAGUUUAUUCAUUUUCAGUAGAGGUUGUGAAUAAUUUAAAAAUACAAACUAAGUUGCUCGUACUCCAGUGCAAGUACGGAUCUAGAGAUCGGAUCCAGGGACAACUGUCCUCAGAACAGGGGAUCCACUUGAACUAUGAUUUCCAGGGCUAUGACCUGCCUUGGGUGUAGUACCCAUAUAGAUGAAAUCAUGAUAUAAUUUGACUGAAUCUAUUUUGGUUUGAGUCAGAGAGAUUUUUGGUUGAGAAUGGUCGCAGCAGCAGCAUCUGCAGGUGGGAAGAUGUCAUCUUAGGUUAAGUCGGUGUCCAGAUCAAGAUCGAGGUAGUCGGGCGAUGGAGGAUGUGAAUUCUCCAUCAUACCAGUGAAACUUUCAGGUGACAUCGCCUGAAAUGUUCACUCGUAAGAUGUCAAAUUUACAUCCUCCAUCGUUGGACGAUCUCGAUCUUGAUCUGGAUACCAACUUAACCUCAGAUGACAUUUUACCACUUGCAGAUGUUGAUGCAGCCACCAUUCUCAACCCAAAAUCUCUCGGUGUUUCAAAACAGAGUCAGAUUGACCCAAAUGGAUUUGGUCAAUCCGGGAGUCGGUACACAUACAAACAUGAUAAGUAUAUAUACAAAUUCUAUAUUUAUACACUUAGGAAUUUUUCAAAAUUCUGUAUAUUUCACUUAUCAGUAUACAAACAAAAUGAUUUAUUAUGAUUCU
Long non-coding RNA from Solanum pennellii, 1266 nucleotides. RefSeq lists it as uncharacterized. The transcript is spliced from 3 exons. The record is from RefSeq and is a predicted model, not a curated record. Lineage: Eukaryota; Viridiplantae; Streptophyta; Magnoliopsida; Solanales; Solanaceae.